Molecule: long non-coding RNA, 438 nt
Filed under: Panicum hallii
Lineage: Eukaryota; Viridiplantae; Streptophyta; Magnoliopsida; Poales; Poaceae
Description: long non-coding RNA (PHAL_LNC000007)
Source: RNAcentral
UGAGAAGAAAAGAAAAGGAAAAGGCAUAUUUGCUCCAGCUAGUAGGAGAAGAAUCAUAUCUCUCCGGACAAACGAGUGAUCCGAUCCGAUCCACUUGGCAACCAGCGCCAUGCCCAAGUUACUACUAUCACUGCAAGGCUGAUCAGCAAGCAAGCCGGCGGCAGCGGCAGCAGCGCUCGUCCUCGGCUCCCAAGACGACGGGGUCACGGCGAGGCAGGGGAGGGGACAGCGUCGCCAGGUCGUGGGAGGGGAAAGCUGGGACGGCCCACGGGACACAUGACUGUCGCCAUCGCCGCCGCCUGCAGUGGCCUCCGGCGUCAGGUACCGGCACAUGGCCGCGCCUGGCACGCGGCCCUCCCCCCUCCGGUCUCCCCUCCUGCUGAGCAGAGCAGCUGCUGCCCGGCGCCGACGGCCUCUGCUCGCUCGCCGGCACCACCC